GUCCGAACGGCCCGAGCACGCCCACAUUUAUCUACAUCAUUUCAAUGAAAACCAACCGAGUGGCAAAGACAAAGCUGAAUGUCUGUCUUUGGCGUUAGCACUGGCGGGUGGGAGACACAGAUCAAUAAGACCAUUAUGGUCUGCUAUCUCGAGUGCCAGACUUGAAUUUCCUUCUGCCUAUUUGGGACCAGGAUACCCUACAGAAGCCUCUCAAACCCAACAUGUCAAAAAUGAACUCAGACAAUUCCCUAUCAUCCUCUGCAGCAGGCCCUUGGCUUGGAACCAAAACAGCUCUUGGUGAACCUCAAGUCUAUGGCCUUUGGACAGGAACUACACCAUCAACUCUCCUGGUUCUCAGGCCUUUGGGCUUGAACUGGAACUAAACCAUUUGUUCUCCUGAGUCUCCAGCUUGAAAACUCAUUCUGAAGAUACUGGGGCUUUCCGGCCUCCGUAAUGACCUACGUUAAUUCCUUCUAAUAAAUCUCUUUCUAGAUUGCUUCUUUACUGAUAUAGAUAUCCUACUUACACAAAUAUUAAUAUGAAUGCAGGCAUGUGUGUGUGUGUGUGUGUGUGUGUGUGUGUGUGUAAUUCACAUUAUUUGCAUUUAUACAUACACCUGUAUUCGUAUUUUAUAUAUAUACCUGUAUUUGUAUUAGUUUAUGUGUAUAGGUAUCUAUACCGAUAUUCGUAUGUAUCUAUGCCAUAUACAUAUACAUACAAACACACUGAUACCUAUAUCGGUGCUGUAUAUAUAUAAAUAAAUAAAUAUAUGGCAUGACACUGAUAUAUAUAUGGUAUGAUUUGUUUUGUUUUUGUUUUUGAAACGAGUCUCCCUCUGUUGCCCAGGCUGGAGUGCAGUGGCUCACCAUUACCU
This is a non-coding RNA of Callithrix jacchus (white-tufted-ear marmoset), 874 nucleotides long. The record is from RefSeq and is a predicted model, not a curated record. Lineage: Eukaryota; Metazoa; Chordata; Mammalia; Primates; Cebidae.